GCGCCGUGCCCCCGCCACCCACCUCCCGGCUCGCCGUGCCGCACUCCCGCCUCCCACCUCCAACCUCCUGGAUUGCCGCGCUUACUGCUCGCCGACGCGCCCUAGCCCGCCGAUGCGCCCCUUCCCGGCUCCUAGCUCCACCCUGCCCCAGCAAAUCCUACCCCUAAUCCGUGCACCGGCGAAGCAAGCCACCACAUCUGGCGACGGCUACCAGGCUUUCCCCGUCGCUGAUGCGCGACCAAUCCGCUCCAGGCUCCCCCCGCCGCUCGGCUUUCCGUCCACCAGCCGUCGAUCUGGAACAGGAUGCACCAGCACGUGGGAGGUUGGACGGACUGCAAAGUAAUAGCCCGGUUAAUCAUUACCCUUUUUGCAAUAUACCUUUACUAUGUCCCUCAUUUGACAGUUGUCUCUAUGUUGGAUUUAUGUUCUCUACAGAACAAUGGGAUGUAUGCAUAAAACACACCAGCUUACUUCCUUAAGUAAGUCAUCGUGGUGCAUGGAAGUUUGUAGAUCUAAUAAAUGGAAUGCUGAGCAAUGGAUCAUUACUAAACUUGUUUGCGAAGUAGAAAAUGCCUCUAAGAAAACAAACUGAUACAUGCAUACAUCUCUCCUAAGGUAAUCAUCAUGCAUAUAUGAUUUAGAGACAAAUGUAAUGCUAAGCAAUGAUAUUUAUUUGAUUACUAAACCGAACCUGCUUAUGUCCUAAAGAAAAAUGGUUGUCAAGAACCUUAUCAUUCAUGGGUUUUAUAUAGUGUAAAAGUAUAACUCUGGUGUGACUGUGUGCUAGGGAACAAUGAGUUUCAAGUUUUGCUAGCAAAAAAUAUUUUUGGCAGUUCAAUAUAAAAAGUGAAAUCAGUUAGCUGAUGUCAAAAUAAUUCAGUUAUAUAUGUGUACACCACAGUAGCAGUUCGGUACAAAAAAUUACAUCAGUUUGUUAAACAAAAAAUAGAAACACAUUUUCUGGUUUAGCGCCUAUACUAAAAAGCAGCUUGGUAGCUAGUUUUUUUAAGUUCCCUGCGCGAAAUGCAGAAAGUUCGAUUAGAACAAUCGUGGAAGUUGGAAAAUAUAUAAACCCAUGUGGCUGCCCAACAUAUUCUAUGUAAAAAGCAAACACUAUGUAUUCUAUGGGUGCUAGAGAAUCAGCAAAGUUCUAUGCGUGCCCAGAACCUGUUUGCUGUAAUGUUUCUAAGAAACUGGACUUCAUUUAGGUUCUCUUUUUUGGUUGAAUUUAUUUAUUUCACAUGAAAUCAAACCUAGCUAUGUCGUAUUGCUGCAUCUAGCUAUGGAGCAGUACACAUAUUUAAACUUUCAUAUAGUUGCAAAAACAUGAAUUCUCAUUCCCAAAAACCUACAAAAAACAUCAAUUUAUAUUGAUAGUUGUUCUAGUCCUUAUGUCACAACAGUGCAAUGACAACAAACUCAUCAGUUCAAAAUGCUAAUGCUGUAGAGAUCUUGUGAAUUCUGUAGAGGGAGUAACCUAAAAAAAUGAAAUACAUUAGCGUGAACAGCCAGCGGUUCAUCUUCCAAAAUGGAUUUAUAUUAUGUUAAUCACCGGUGUGCUCUUGUUGUCAGUUCGUGUGUGCUCUUGUCAUCAGGUCAUGUGCCAAUUUGUUAUCAGUUUUGUGUGUAUGUGAGUUGGUAAACCAUGUGUGGCUGCUGUAGAAAAAAGGCACGGGGAUGUGCUGCCCUCAGUUCUCUCUCGAUAAAUCUAGCAGUGCAGGUUCUCCGGUGCGCCAAGUAUUGCCAGCGGUGAUGCCUGCAUCAUGGCCCAUUCGAGAGAUGCUACUUUUGUGUAUGCAUAUUUAUCUUUAUUAGUUUUUGUGUUCUCUUGUUUGCCCCAAUUGAUCCUUGUGUUAAUGUUUGUAUAUGUUGUGCGCUUCUGGUCCCAUCAUGAAGUGAAAAAUGACAAGCGAGCUAAGUACUAGUUCGGAAAGUUUGCAAGUUCGAACACAUAAACCUAAAGUUCAUUGAAAAAGUUUGGUUUGCCUGUUCCGUGAAAAUGUCUUGCUAAAGAAAUAUCUCUUAUGCACUUAUUUAUUUGCCUGAAUAUUUGGUUUGAUUCUCAGGUGCGAUAUGGCGGCCACCGACGUUGUUGCUAAAUCCAUCUACAAACUAGUGGAUGGCUGCUCCCAGCGGUAAAUGUGGUCGGGUUCAGCAGCUAGCUCUUCCUCGAGCAACCAUUCUUGUGGUAGUGUAACAAGUCCAGCUCAUCAUCGUCAGUCCAAGGUCAAGUCACUGCCCAAAAAUAAUUUGCUGUCGAGGCCAAACGCCUCGUGCAAAUUAACCCUGAACUAAUGAGUGCAGCGAUGGGCCAUUAUUUUAAUUUCCAGGUGCACGCGACAUCUCUGGUCGCGUGGCCGGCACCAUUAUCUUACAUUUUUGUUUCUGCACUAAGUUUCUUAUGUAUUGUUCACAAAAUUUUAGUGAAAAUUUUACUUCACGUUACCUCGUGAUCUCGCAACUGUAUGUUCACCUGUGAAGGUAUCUCUCAUUGCUUAUUGUUACAUUAUUUCCCAUGGUAAGAAAGGUUCACAUUAAAAGUAACAUCCAUAUAGGAAAAAUGCUUCUAUUCUAACACUUCUUUUUAAAAAAGAGCACUAGUACUAAAGAGUCGUACUGACAAGGAUGCCAUCUACAAUUCUGAUGAGUCGUACUCACAAGGACAUAAUUAUUGUGCAAAUGGAAAAAACAAAUGUUUUAUAAAGAAAUGUGCUUGAAGUUCAAUUACUAUGGUCUAAAAAAUUCAUUUAGAUCGCUAGUGCAUUCAGAAUUGCUAAUUUUAAAAAAAUGAAGUUCCUAUUUUAGGAUUAUGUAAGUUCAAAAUUAUUGUAUGAUGUGUGUGCCAUAGUUAUCUGAACUACAAUUCUGACUAGUAUUCCAUUAUAGUACUGCUGCAUAUUCACUUUUGAUUGCUUCUUGCUGCCCUAUUUUUAUCAUGAUUUUGUGUGUUCACCCAGGAGUGCUUUUGUUUCCAUAGGUCAGCUGCUCAACAACAGAAGCAUGUACCGCCCAGUACAUGUAUUACUAAUGCAAAGGUUAAAAAAAAUCAGAACUCAACAAGUUCAACGUUGAUGGUACUAUGCACAUGCGCUAAGUUGUUCUACAACAUAGGGCUAAGCCGUUCUACGCCGCAGCUUGGGAGCUGAAGGAGCUCCCCUUGGGUUCAUCUUGCAAGUUCUGUUCAAACUUGUCCACCUAGGUCAUUCAACAACAACACCAGAGCCCGUUCAGUUGGUGGCAUUCCUGCAGCUGCAGAUGUGGUGCUGACAAUACUAGGCGUUGGCUGUGUUUGAUCAAAUGCCUAGGAGCUCCCAUGAUUUACACAUGGAAUCUAGAUGAUUCCAUUUUUUCAUUCCCCAAGUACUUCAAUGGUGGCUCCUUCCCGCUUGGCUCAAUCGCUGCUGGAUUUAGGUGGGUGUAGGCGUAGGUUUUCAGGAGCAUGGACGGAUACGGGGAAGGUCGCACUGCUCUUGUGUUAUUCUCCAACAAUUGAGAAAUUGAUACUCAUUUUAAUGUGUAAGUUUACAUGCUCACACUUGUUCGUGCCAAUGCCAAAUAGCUUGAGAAUAGCAACCUGUUCGAGCUUAGCUGAGAGGAUUUUGAAUCGUUGUGUGAGGCACUGUGGGCACAGCCUUGAGAUAAUGCAUGUUGCUUUAACAGCUGCGAAUUUGAGAAAAUAUUCAACA
Long non-coding RNA from Triticum aestivum (bread wheat), 3686 nucleotides. RefSeq lists it as uncharacterized. The transcript has 3 exons. NCBI's taxonomy places the organism in Eukaryota, Viridiplantae, Streptophyta, Magnoliopsida, Poales, Poaceae. The record is from RefSeq and is a predicted model, not a curated record.